Molecule: long non-coding RNA, 508 nt
Organism: Eptesicus fuscus (big brown bat)
Lineage: Eukaryota; Metazoa; Chordata; Mammalia; Chiroptera; Vespertilionidae
Exons: 3
Source: RefSeq, a predicted model, not a curated record
AUAAGAGUUAUUAGCAGAGAUAACUUUUUAUGACUUAUCCAUAGAGCAGGGCAAACAUCUAAUUACUGAAUAUCUGUUCUUCCUAUUGUCCUGACAAUGACCUUUCUCCCCCUCACAACUCCAAGGUGUGUUGCUUUAUCUUUAACUUAGAAUGUCAUGGAUACCUGUUGGGGGAGAAACUAUUCUAGGAGCUGAGUGCUGCCAGACCCGUGAGCUAAAUUGGAGCCAGACUGCUGAUUGUUUUCCAUAAAUCCCCUUAGAGACUAUCUGAUCAACCCUUCUCCUACAUCCUGUGAUGUGCUGGCUGGUUCCUGGAGCAGGCAGUUGAGCUGCCCUGUCCCAGGCAAGCAGAUUUAUAGCCAGUUGGUUACAAGCACACAUAAUAACCAGGACUUGCUAUCGGCAUCUGACGUGGAGGGCAGACUGAUGGGCCUGAGCCCUCAACCUCUGGAAUCUGAUGCUGUCUCCAGAUUCCACAUAUAAGUGAAAUAAUAUGGUAUUUGAUUUC